Molecule: ribosomal RNA, 257 nt
Filed under: uncultured bacterium
Lineage: Bacteria
Description: partial 16S ribosomal RNA
Rfam family: Bacterial small subunit ribosomal RNA
Source: RNAcentral
GACGAACGCUGGCGGCGUGCUUAACACAUGCAAGUCGAACGGUAAGGCCCUUUCGGGGGUACACGAGUGGCGAACGGGUGAGUAACACGUGGGUAAUCUGCCCUGCACUUCGGGAUAAGCCUGGGAAACUGGGUCUAAUACCGGGAUAUGAGCUUUCACCGCAUGGUGGGGGUUGGAAAGUUUUUCGGUGCAGGAGUGGGCCCGCGGCCUAUCAGCUUGUUGGUGGGGUAAUGGCCUACCAAGGCGACGACGGGUAG